AAGUCGUAACAAGGUAACCGUAGGUGAACCUGCGGUUGGAUCAUUAAAAAAUUCAACAAAGAAGUUUUUUUUUUUUAAAGUAAAAUUUAAAAAAAAAAUUCUUUCUUUAACAUUUUGUGCACUGUAAUUAAUUUAUUCUAGCGGGGAUUUUUUAAAAAAUAGGCCGACUUAAAAAAAAUUUAUUUCUUUUAUUAGGCUGGAGUUGUUUGGAAACAAAUAAACUUUACCCGCUAGAAAAUAAUUUUAACUUUAUUUUUUUAUAUUGCCUUUAGAUUAAUUUAAUAAAAGUUUAACUUAAAAAAAUAACUUUUGACAACGGAUCUCUAGGCUCUC
Molecule: unclassified non-coding RNA, 333 nt
Filed under: fungal sp.
Lineage: Eukaryota; Fungi
Description: partial internal transcribed spacer region
Rfam family: Eukaryotic small subunit ribosomal RNA (bases 1-46)
Source: RNAcentral